GUCGGGGCUCAGUGGUAGAGCGCUUGCCUAGCACAUGUGAGGCACUGGGUUCAAUUCCCAGCACCACA
RNAcentral lists this transfer RNA (68 nucleotides) under Marmota monax (woodchuck). Its description in RNAcentral is "tRNA.Ala". The record is from RNAcentral. Lineage: Eukaryota; Metazoa; Chordata; Mammalia; Rodentia; Sciuridae.